RNAcentral lists this transfer RNA (84 nucleotides) under Marophrys sp. SRT127. RNAcentral describes it as "tRNA-Ser". It matches the Rfam family "tRNA". From Rfam's summary of the family: Transfer RNA (tRNA) molecules are approximately 80 nucleotides in length. Their secondary structure includes four short double-helical elements and three loops (D, anti-codon, and T loops). Further hydrogen bonds mediate the characteristic L-shaped molecular structure. tRNAs have two regions of fundamental functional importance: the anti-codon, which is responsible for specific mRNA codon recognition, and the 3' end, to which the tRNAs corresponding amino acid is attached (by aminoacyl-tRNA synthetases). tRNAs cope with the degeneracy of the genetic code in two manners: having more than one tRNA (with a specific anti-codon) for a particular amino acid; and 'wobble' base-pairing, i.e. permitting non-standard base-pairing at the 3rd anti-codon position. The record is from RNAcentral. Lineage: Eukaryota; Centroplasthelida; Acanthocystida.
GGAGAAGUGGCUGAGCGGUUCAAGGCGAUAACUUGCUACGUUAUUGUAUUUAAAAACAUCGUGGGUUCAAAUCCCACCUUCUCC